GGGGCUAUAGUGUAGUCUGGUUAGCAUUUGAGGUUUGGGACCUUAAGACCCAGGUUCAAAUCCUGGUAGCCCCA
RNAcentral lists this transfer RNA (74 nucleotides) under archaeon CG10_big_fil_rev_8_21_14_0_10_43_11. RNAcentral's name for it is "tRNA-Pro". It matches the Rfam family "tRNA". Rfam says of the family: Transfer RNA (tRNA) molecules are approximately 80 nucleotides in length. The record is from RNAcentral.